RNAcentral lists this ribosomal RNA (496 nucleotides) under uncultured organism. Its description in RNAcentral is "bacterial SSU rRNA". It matches the Rfam family "Bacterial small subunit ribosomal RNA", at positions 423 to 920 of the family's 1533-position model. The record is from RNAcentral.
UUGUAAACUGCUUUUAGUUGGGAAUAAAGUGCACCACGAGUGGUGUUUUGUAUGUACCAUCAGAAAAAGGACCGCCUAAUUCCGUGCCAGCAGCCGCGGUAAUACGGAAGGUCCAGGCGUUAUCCGGAUUUAUUGGGUUUAAAGGGAGCGCAGGCGGACCUUUAAGUCAGCUGUGAAAUACGGCGGCUCAACCGUCGAACUGCAGUUGAUACUGGAGGUCUUGAGUGCACACAGGGAUACUGGAAUUCAUGGUGUAGCGGUGAAAUGCUCAGAUAUCAUGAAGAACUCCGAUCGCGAAGGCAGGUAUCCGGGGUGCAACUGACGCUGAGGCUCGAAAGUGCGGGUAUCAAACAGGAUUAGAUACCCUGGUAGUCCGCACAGUAAACGAUGAAUACUCGCGAUUUGCGAUACACAGUAAGUCGCCAAGCGAAAGCGUUAAGUAUUCCACCUGGGGAGUACGCCGGCAACGGUGCAACUCAAAUGAAUUGACGGAAUA